RNAcentral lists this non-coding RNA (882 nucleotides) under Pristimantis torresi. Lineage: Eukaryota; Metazoa; Chordata; Amphibia; Anura; Strabomantidae. The record is from RNAcentral.
GGUUUGGUCCCAGCCUUGAAAUCAGUUCUUACUUAACUUACACAUGCAAGUCUCCGCACACCCGUGAAAACGCCCUUCUACCCACAUAGGAACAAGGAGCCGAUAUCAGGCAUAAAUUACCCAUGACAUCUAGCCACGCCACACCCACAAGGGCCCUCAGCAGUGAUUAACAUUAAAAAUAAACGUAAGUUUGACUUAGUCAAUGAAAAUAGAGCCGGCCAAUCUGGUGCCAGCCGCCGCGGUUACACCACAUGACUCAAAUUGAUUUUAACACGGCGUAAAGCGUGAUUAAAGAAAACAAACUUCUGGGGUCAAACUUAGACUUAACUGUAAUAAGCAUGUCUUCUGGAAGCCCAAUCUCGAAAGACACCCCACCCACCAACUUGAACUCACAACAACUUUAACACAAACUGGGAUUAGAUACCCCACUAUGUUUAGUCGUAAACUUUAACCUACCCCCCCCGUCGCCAGGGAACUACGAGCAAAGCUUAAAACCCAAAGGACUUGACGGUACUCCAUAUCCCCCUAGAGGAGCCUGUCCUACAACCGAUAACCCCCGUUAAACCUCACCAUUUUUAGCCUUUCAGCCUGUAUACUUCCGUCGUCAACUUACCGCCUGAGCGAACAAGUAAGUUAAAUGUUCUUUCCCACCCAUACGUCAGGUCAAGGUGCAGCAAAUAAAAUGGCAAGAGAUGGGCUACACUUUCUAACAUAGAAAAUACGAAAAACUAUAUGAAACCAUACUUAGAAGGCGGAUUUAGCAGUAAGAAGAGAAUAGAGAGCCCUUCUUAACAAGGCACUGGAGUGUGUACAAACCGCCCGUCACCCUCUUCAACAAACUUUAUGAUAGUAUUUAACACCCUACCACCAAAUAGAGGAGGC